CCUACGGGAGGCUGCAGUGAGGAAUAUUGGUCAAUGGACGCAAGUCUGAACCAGCCAUGCCGCGUGCAGGAUGACGGCGCUAUGAGUUGUAAACUGCUGUUGUACGAGGGUAAACCCCGAUACGUGUAUCGGGUUGAAAGUAUCGUACGAAUAAGGAUCGGCUAACUCCGUGCCAGCAGCCGCGGUAAUACGGAGGAUCCGAGCGUUAUCCGGAUUUAUUGGGUUUAAAGGGUGCGUAGGCGGUUUGAUAAGUUAGAGGGGAAAUGUCGGGGCUCAACCCCGAAACUGCCUCUCAUACUGUUGGCCUAGAGAAUAGUUGCGGUCGGCGGAAUGUAUGGUGUCGCGG
RNAcentral lists this ribosomal RNA (346 nucleotides) under uncultured bacterium. RNAcentral's name for it is "partial 16S ribosomal RNA". It matches the Rfam family "Bacterial small subunit ribosomal RNA", at positions 338 to 681 of the family's 1533-position model. The record is from RNAcentral.